AUUGAACGCUGGCGGCAGGCUUAACACAUGCAAGUCGAACGAUGACUCUCUAGCUUGCUAGAGAAGAUUAGUGGCGGACGGGUGAGUAACAUUUAGGAAUCUGCCUAGUAGUGGGGGAUAGCUCGGGGAAACUCGAAUUAAUACCGCAUACGACCUACGGGUGAAAGGGGGCGCAAGCUCUUGCUAUUAGAUGAGCCUAAAUCAGAUUAGCUAGUUGGUGGGGUAAAGGCCCACCAAGGCGACGAUCUGUAACUGGUCUGAGAGGAUGAUCAGUCACACCGGAACUGAGACACGGUCCGGACUCCUACGGGAGGCAGCAGUGGGGAAUAUUGGACAAUGGGGGCAACCCUGAUCCAGCCAUGCCGCGUGUGUGAAGAAGGCCUUUUGGUUGUAAAGCACUUUAAGCAGGGAGGAGAGGCUAAUGGUUAAUACCCAUUAGAUUAGACGUUACCUGCAGAAUAAGCACCGGCUAACUCUGUGCCAGCAGCCGCGGUAAUACAGAGGGUGCGAGCGUUAAUCGGAAUUACUGGGCGUAAAGCGAGUGUAGGUGGCUCAUUAAGUCACAUGUGAAAUCCCCGGGCUUAACCUGGGAACUGCAUGUGAUACUGGUGGUGCUAGAAUAUGUGAGAGGGAAGUAGAAUUCCAGGUGUAGCGGUGAAAUGCGUAGAGAUCUGGAGGAAUACCGAUGGCGAAGGCAGCUUCCUGGCAUAAUAUUGACACUGAGAUUCGAAAGCGUGGGUAGCAAACAGGAUUAGAUACCCUGGUAGUCCACGCCGUAAACGAUGUCUACUAGCCGUUGGGGUCCUUGAGACUUUAGUGGCGCAGUUAACGCGAUAAGUAGACCGCCUGGGGAGUACGGCCGCAAGGUUAAAACUCAAAUGAAUUGACGGGGGCCCGCACAAGCGGUGGAGCAUGUGGUUUAAUUCGAUGCAACGCGAAGAACCUUACCUGGUCUUGACAUAGUGAGAAUCCUGCAGAGAUGCGGGAGUGCCUUCGGGAAUUCACAUACAGGUGCUGCAUGGCUGUCGUCAGCUCGUGUCGUGAGAUGUUGGGUUAAGUCCCGCAACGAGCGCAACCCUUUUCCUUAUUUGCCAGCGGGUUAAGCCGGGAACUUUAAGGAUACUGCCAGUGACAAACUGGAGGAAGGCGGGGACGACGUCAAGUCAUCAUGGCCCUUACGACCAGGGCUACACACGUGCUACAAUGGUAGGUACAGAGGGUUGCUACACAGCGAUGUGAUGCUAAUCUCAAAAAGCCUAUCGUAGUCCGGAUUGGAGUCUGCAACUCGACUCCAUGAAGUCGGAAUCGCUAGUAAUCGCGGAUCAGAAUGCCGCGGUGAAUACGUUCCCGGGCCU
This 1355-nucleotide ribosomal RNA is filed under the name uncultured bacterium. RNAcentral describes it as "bacterial SSU rRNA". It matches the Rfam family "Bacterial small subunit ribosomal RNA", at positions 28 to 1381 of the family's 1533-position model. The record is from RNAcentral.